This is an RNA transcript of Acinonyx jubatus (cheetah), 7120 nucleotides long. It is a transcript of the gene named serine palmitoyltransferase small subunit A, with no coding region annotated. The record is from RefSeq and is a predicted model, not a curated record. Lineage: Eukaryota; Metazoa; Chordata; Mammalia; Carnivora; Felidae. The transcript has 3 exons.
UAAAAAAUUUUUUUUUUAACGUUUAUUUAUUUUUGAGACAGAGACAGAGCAUGAACAGGGGAGGGGCAGAGAGAGAGGGAGACACAGAAUCUGAAAUGGGCACCAGGCUCUGAGCUGUCAGCACAGAGUCCGACGUGGGGCUCGAACUCACAGACCGUGAGAUCAUGACCUGAGCCGAAGUCGGACACUUAACCGACUGAGCCACCCAGGCGCCCCAAUGUUUAUUUAUUUUUGAGACAAUGUGAGAGACAGAGUGCAAGCAGCAGAGGGACAGACAGACGGAGACACAGAAUCCGAAGUGGGCUCCAGGCUCUGAGCUGUCAGCCCAGAGCCUGACGUGGGGCUCAAACUCAUGAACCAUGAGAUCAUGACCGGAGCUGAAGUCGGAUGCUCAACUGACUGAGCCACUCAGGCGCCCCUGACUGUAGAUUUUUGAAAGUGGUGACAGGUCCAUAGAUAACCAAUGUAUUAAAGCUUGUUUGGUGAAUCUUCAUCCUAAUGUUUUCUGGACAACCACACAUGGGUAUGCCCUGGGCCAUUCCUCAUUCCUUUGACUCAGACGGCUCUGUGGAGCCUGGUGUCAGUGUGCACAUCUGGACUUCCCGUCUCUUCAUGGCAAAUUUCCAGACUUUUGGCAUGCUUCUUGAAGCCUACUCCAUGGGUGUGCUUUUAAGUGCUGACAUUGUAUUAUCUGGUCACUACCUCAUUGAUGGCAGAAAGGCCCUUCUCACCAUCCUUCUUUGUAGGAGCCAUUCUGUCAGGCCCAGGCUGGGAAGCUGUCUCACUUCUGGAUUGAAAUUAUUAAAUGGAUAGAUCGAUGAAGCUUGUAGCUGUGCCAGGAGUUUGUUACCGAGGUGAAAUAAAGUACAACUCAAGGUAGACAGAAGCCAGGAGUGCCUUGAAGGAAAAUCUUUCGUCAAGGAAAUUGAGAGUGGGAACAAUUCUUCCAUUGGUGGUAACACUGGCCUCUGAGUCUGCCAUCCAGAGAGCAGCUGCUGGAGGUGGCCCAUAGACUUGGCCACAGCAAGAGGAGGAAAUCAAGGCUUCAGAAGUUAAUUUACUUGCCCAAGUAGCGGAGUAAGUACUGACAGUCUGACCUCCAAUCUCCUAUCUUAAUCACUAAAACACGACUGUUUUCAGCAUCACCCCAGCCUCUAAUAACCAAAGCUUCUUUAUUGCAUUACUUCCUGGUGCCAAGUGCUUUCCUUGUAGGAAAAGUUUCUUGCAGGAGGGAUCCUCAGGCUCCUACCAAAUAAAUUUCAGUUUGGUUCUUCCAUCAGCUCAGGAGACAUAAUAAAAAUUUAUGCAAAGUUUAGCAAAAACAUAGCGUGAUUUCUCCCACCGAGAAGGCACGUUAGUCUUUUAGGCAACUUGGCUACAUUUCUGGCAGUUCCCAAGUAGGUUCAAACUGGGCCAUCUACCACUGUCCCCUCUUAUGCACAAUGGUUUAUGGUUGAUGUUGUCACUUUCAGAGACAGGCACGGUUUGUAAGUCAGCUUUCUAGACUCAGGGUGACCUGGGUUUCCAGCCAUCGACUGAGGAUUGUUGUACUCAGGUAUCCCACUUUAACUUCGUGUAAUAUAUAGAAAAUGCAUAGAAACAUCCCAACAUUUUAUUUUUGUGGGUAGGACUUUUAUUCUAUCUUUUCCCAAGAGUGAAUAUUCAAAGAAGUCUUUGACUCUUUCCUCACCUCUGUUAUGUUUGGUCAACUGCUCUUGAUCUUUCCACACGAUCUUUCCAUCCUAAUGCACAACAUUAUUCCAGUGAGUUUCAAAGCCCAAGUAAACAAUCACUCAACAUGCUACCUUGAAAAUCUUUGUCUCAGGUCUAAUUGAUUUCCCUUUACUACUCUAGCCACUCACCCCAUGCUACAUCUGGACGUUGUCAGUAUGUGGAAAUGUUCCAUCUUAGAAAUCUUAAGCUCUGGGACAUGUUCUAUCCCUUCAAACUUCCCCAGGCCCUCUCCUUGCUAUGCCCAUCUUCUACAUGAACUGCCUGCCACACUAUUAUAGUUGCCUGUUAUCAUACAGAUGGCUAGUUCCCGUCAAUGUCAUUUUUAUCUUUCUUCUGUAAAGAUAAACUUUCUAAUUUUUGGCUGGAUACAUGGUUGCCUUGAGAAUAAAGACUAUAUUUCCCUGCAUCAUUUGCAGCUGGUUAUGACCAUGUGACUCCAUUCUGGCCAGUUGGGAUGUGAGGAAAGUGACAUGUGUGGCUUCCAGGGAGAGGGCAUGCAUACCGCCACACUGAGUAUGAUGUGAACUUGACAGCCAGGCAUCUUAGAUCUUAGACCUUGUGGACAAUGGCAUCCCUCAAGGGGUGGUGGUAUAACAAGUUCACCUUGUUCUCUGGACAAUCUCAUGGAAUAGAGCAAGCAUACCAACCCUCCACCUAUAUCUGCACUGUUUCAUGAGAGAGAAAUAAGUUUAUUCUUAUUUGACUCACUGCAGUUUUGGGCCUUUGCUUCAUGCAGCUGAACCUGUAUUCUAAUUACAACCCUAUUGUCUGUUUUCCCGAGUAUACUUAAGCUCCUUGAAGUUGGGCCCCAUGUCUUAGUAACCAGUUGUGCUGGUCUCGUUCAUGAUGGAUUGGUUGGUUCCAGAGGUGGAAGGAGAAACAGAUUAGUCUUUUUCCUCCAAAGAAGAGGACCUUUCUGAUGAGACAAUAAUAUGCAGGGAAAAUGGGUAAAACACAGGCAAAUUUUUAUGCUGCCUCUUUUUUUUUUUUUUAAAAGUUUUAAUUUAAAUUCCAGUUAGUUAACAUACAGUGUGAUAUUAGUUUCAGGUGUGCAAUAUAGAGACUCAACAAUUCCAUACAUCACCCGGUGCUCAUCACAACUCACAACAAAUACACUCCUUAAUCCCCAUCACCUAUUUUACCCGUCCCCUACCCAUCUCCCCUCUGGUAACCAUCAGUUUGUUCUCUACAGUUAAGAUUCUGUUUCUUGGUUUGCCACUGUCUCUCUUUAUUGUUUCUUUUCCUUUGCUCGUUUAUUUUUUAAGUUCUACAUAUGAGUGAAAUGAUAUGGUAUUUGUCUUUCUAUGCUGUCCCUUACCUUCCUAGACUCAGUGGAGAAGGAAGGGCAGGGUCCCUAGGCAGAGGGGCAAAGCCUUAGAGGGCAAAGUUCCACCCACACUGACAGUAAAAAGGGAAAGUGAUGAUGUCCUAACGGGCCAUAAGUAGUGGACAAAGCCUGGUAUUUCUUAUCUUCCUGUGGAAAGAAGACCCUGUCAGCACAUUGCAGCUGGCACCAUAGUCACAUGUGUGUUCCAUUGCCUCAGGCUAUUCCUUGCAUAGGGUCAAUUGGUGGGGUCCAGAAUCCAGAAAGAAUUAAUGCAGGUGGGUUGGGCAGCCUGAUUAUAUCAAGUUGGCCAGGCAUUUAGGAGUUGGGCUACACAGUCACAUUAAGGGUGGCCAGACACUCAGGAGCUGGGGCUCCCUAGAUAAUGAUGACUCAUUAACCUUCUAAAAUAAUGGAUCUAAGCCAAUUAUAUGAUUAUAUUAAAAAAACCUGGUACCAUCACUGUCCAGUCAAGAGUCAGAGACCAUACCAAUUGUUUGAACAAGGAGAAUUUAAUGUCUAGAUUGUUGUUAACUAGGUAGCCUAAAAGACAGAAAGGAGCAUCAAUGUAUCACAGAGUUAGCAAUUGCAGGAAGCAGUUAAUACUUCCAGGGUUUGGGGAAUAAAGACGGGGAUUAUUAAAAUUUAGAAACUUGGAGGAGGGGCCAUAUGGAAUGGAGUUUACACCUCUGGGGAAGGGGCAUAGCUCUGCUGGAAACUGUCUCAGCUUGGAGCAGGGACCCCGUGGGCUGGAGAACCAGACCUCCAAGAAGGAGAAAACAGCCAGGAUGAGACUAGUACUGCAAGCAUUGGAAAAAACCUGCCAACUGGAUUUAAAUGCUGCUACGGGAGCAGAAGCAUUGCUGGUACGAUGCUCACAGGACUUGUAAACAGACAGGAAGGAGUCCCUUCUCCUUCCUCCAGCCUCCCAGUCCUCCUCUGGCAGAACAGAGCCUAACUGGGAGACUGCUGGCCAAGCAGGAAUGUGGUUUGCAGCGUCCCGGUCCCAGUGCCACAGGGCAGGACAGCAAAGAUGGGUGUGGAGAUGUGAGGCUAUACAGCAUAGUAAUUGGCACAUACCUCAGCAGUUCUAAAUUCAGAUAGUUUCAUGUUGUCUCAGCCAGCCUCAUAGGUAAGGCCUACAGACUUCAAUUUUUUAAGGGACGAUCUGGUGACUAAAGGAAGAAUGCUUUGUUGCCACACGACAUUUGAAAUGUUCCAGAGGGAUGAGGCAGAUAAAACAUCACCAGGCUGGUGAUAGGAAGUGAGUCUGGAAGGAUGAAAAGGAGUUCCUUGGGCAGUGGAAGAACCAGUGGAAGAACUAACCACUACCUAGUGGAAGAAGGGAGUCCCAGUCAGGAGGAAAAACAGGUACAAAGGCCAAAAAGAGGGCCCAAACCCUUAAGUGGGCUGAGUUGCACUCAGGGCAAAGCUACCCAAGUCUUGGGGCUUCCCUAGGAUAAGGCAGAAGUUAGGGCAUGGGUGACUGGCGCAGAGUACUCUCCCCAGGACCAGUGACCCCCUCAGAGUAAUUAGGACCCUCUACCAGUUCUAUUUAAGCACAAUGUGUUAUGCUGGCUGGACUUGGACAAGGUAAUUAAAAUUUCUGAUUAGAGAAUAUUAUUCCCAUUUGACAAAUAAGGAGACUGAGGCUCUGAAUUUAAGUAGCCUGCCCAUGAUCACAGAAUCUGUGACUCAAAUGACCUACUUUUCUCCAGGACCCCUUCCCUGGAUGUCCCCAUGGAUUCUCCCGCUGAGCACGUUCCAACAUGCACUCCUUCCCUUCUUCUGUGUCUCGCUUCAGACCUCCUUUCUGGAUCCCUGAAGUCAGGUCCUGGGUUCCUUCCUUUUUCCUGCCUCCAUGCCCCCACCUCGCCCCAUACAAUCCAUCACCAAGUCUUGUAGAUUUGACCUUCUAAACAAAGAAGCCUCUCUAGGCCAGAGAAAGCUUCCAAAACCACAAAAAUCAUGCCAUUUUCCUUCUUAAAACUUCUCAGUGGUUCCCAUGGCUUACUGGAGAAAAUCCAAGCUCCUUUAUUUCAUAGUGAGGCCACUGUGAUAUGGUCUUUAUUAACUUCUCCAACUUUGCUGGCCACUGUCUCUCUAUCCUGCGGUGAGACCGGGGGGCAACUCUGGCCAGGGAAACAAGACGAGGGUUCACCUCCUCCCUCCACUGACUAACCUGCAGGCAAGAAAUUGCAGUGAUGCCACAUUGUUUUCUAUGCCUUCCAGCAGGUUACCUACCUCUGAUUUAGUGGCUUUAGCCACUGCUCAUGUCAGGGUAGCAUUGAUGCAGGCCCGCUGGCUUCUGUUUUAUGUGCUGGAAUGAAUGCGUGAGGAUGCCUCUGGGUAUUGUUUCUGGCCUCUCACCUCUAAUCCCUUCCUCUCUCCCUCCCUCCCUUCCUUUUCUCUCCUCUCUCUUUCAUAAAAAGUAUAUUUAUAUUAGACAGGAACUUAUUUUAUUUUAUUUUAUAGAGAGUGGGGGGAGGGGGAGAGAGAAAGAGAGAGAGAGAGAGAGAGAGAGAGAGAGAGAGAGAGAGAAUCCCAAGCAGGCCCCAUGCUCAUGCUCAGUGCAGAGCCCAACGUGGGUCAAUCCCACAGCCCUGAGACCUGUGCCAAAAUCAAGAGUCAGAUGCUCAACGAACUGCACCACCCAGGUACCCUAGACAGGAACUUUUUAAUGCAAAGGGCAGAAACUCAGUUCAAAUUAACUUAAGCCUAAAAAGGGAAUUUAUUGACUUAUUGAACUGGUAAAUCUAGGGGUAGAGCUGGAUCCAGGGAUAUAAAUAUUAUUAUUCUCUCUCUCCCUUUCUGUGUUGCUACUCUCUGUGUUGGCCACAUUCUCUCCUAUUUCAAGAUGUAUUCCCUGUGUGUAGGAGGUGAAGGGCAGCAGGGCUGCAGGCAGCUCCGAGUUUAUGUCUCGCUUGUCCACCCCAGAGGAAUGGGAGCUUCUCUCAAUGUCUCUCCAUAAAAUCCCGAGGAAAGGCUCUGAUUGGUUCUGUUUCCUAAUUUGUCCUUGCUUCAGUUCACCCCCUGCCCUCCAAUCCCUGGGGCCAGGAGGAAGGGGGACAUUGAUUACAAAGGGCUGGAUCAGAAGCUCAUCCCUACAGUCAAGGGUGGGGGACGCUGUGAUUGGCAUUCAUCCAGAACCACAUAGACUUGGAGGGGUAGUUACCCAAAGAAAUAGGGGUGCUACUAUUAGAAUAUGGACAAAAGACCUAUUGGACAGAUAGAAAAAAAAAAAAGGUAACCAAAGUGAUGUCUAUACUGCUAUCAUCACCACCACUAUUACGACCACCACCACCGUUAUCGAGCAACUGCUGUGUUAUAGGCACAGGGCAGUUCCUUUAUGUAUACAGGUUAUUUCUGAAUAUUACACAUGACACCAUUUUCAAGAAGAGGAAACCGACACUUGGGCGGUUUAACGCUUUUGCUUGAAGUCAUGGAGCUAGCCUGUCUGACACCAGGUGUGUGCUUUACCUCACGCUGCCUUCUCUGGGCCGGGGAGUCCUCUGUCUCACCAUUGCCCAGUAAUUACGGCUCACAAAUGACCCUGUGGAGGAGUGGCUGGAUGAGUGCAUGACUUAUAUAAUUGACCUUCAGUCACAUUGGCCAACUUAUGUUUUCAUAAUGUGGAAGGUGCAUUUUUAUGAUCCAGGCUGUGGAAUGGGGUUAAUGAACCGGUACUUCCCCGCCAGGGGCCGAAUGUACCCCGCUGAGAUGAAGAUAAGGGGGGCUGAGCUGUUUAAGAGGAGUAGGGCUGCCCCCUCCAGAAGACCAAAGCCACCUACCGAGGAUGUUGAAUUCAGUGUUGCAAAUAAACGUUAAAAAAAAUCGAAGCCCUCAAAACACGUUUGCAUCUGGCUUUUUACUUUGGGUUGCUUACCUUAAAAAGUCAUUUACUAUUGGUUUGCCACUAGCUGUUAAAGACUUUAAGCAUAUGGGUAAAUAGUAAUCAAAAACACAAAAAUAUAAUUUAGCCUUGACAUAUGAGAUAUAUAGUGGCUUAAGGGAAGGAGUCAAUGUUGUAUACUUAAAUAUAUAUACUAGAUAUACUUAAAG